AUACGUAGGGGGCGAGCGUUGUCCGGAAUGAUUGGGCGUAAAGGGCGCGUAGGCGGCGCGGUAAGUCUGGAGUGAACGUCCUGCUUUCAAGGUGGGAAUUGCUUUGGAUACUGCCGCGCUUGAGUGCAGGAGAGGUUAUCGGAAUUCCCGGUGUAGCGGUGAAAUGCGUAGAGAUCGGGAGGAACACCAGUGGCGAAGGCGGGUAACUGGACUGCAACUGACGCUGAGGCGCGAAAGUGUGGGGAGCAAACAGGAUUAGAUACCCUGGUAGUCCACACUGUAAACGAUGAAUGCUAGGUGUAAGAGGUAUCGACCCCUUUUGUGCCGGAGUCAACACAAUAAGCAUUCCGCCUGGGGAGUACGUCCGCAAGGUUGAAACUCAAAUGAAUUGACGGGG
This 397-nucleotide ribosomal RNA is filed under the name uncultured bacterium. Its description in RNAcentral is "partial 16S ribosomal RNA". It matches the Rfam family "Bacterial small subunit ribosomal RNA", at positions 523 to 918 of the family's 1533-position model. The record is from RNAcentral.